RNAcentral lists this long non-coding RNA (581 nucleotides) under Pogona vitticeps (central bearded dragon). RNAcentral describes it as "lncRNA (ENSPVIG00000002501.1)". Lineage: Eukaryota; Metazoa; Chordata; Lepidosauria; Squamata; Agamidae. The record is from RNAcentral.
CUGUUUAGCUUAUUGAUUGGUUUGGCAGGAAAAGCAGCCUUGUCAUCAGUGACCAAGGUCGAACUAAACAAAAAGGGACAGGAGGGGAGGAACAAGCAGACGGGAGGAGAAAGAAAAAGUUGAACGUACAAGCUCAGUGAGGCAAGAAUGGAAUAUCUGAGGGCUAGAACUUUGCUUAAAGAGAUAGUCAUGGUUCAUCUGACCACAAAGCCUGUCAUAGUCAUGGAAGCAAAAGCAUGAAAAACCUAUGAGUGUGUGAGAUCCUAAAAACGUAUUUCACUCAUCCUUCCAAGGCUCUGUGUCAUCCUGGCAUGCCAGACUGUAAACUGUUUGCUUCGGAAAGAAAAGAAAAGCUAAGCUUCUAUACUGUCACCUGCAACAGUUGCCAAAGGUAGAAAAAGUUGCCCUGCAACUCUCAAAAUAUCCCAACCACGAUGGGAUCGCAGGAAAACAAUCCAUUCAACGAUGUGACAUAGCAUGGCCGUUUCAGAAGUUAGCAACAGUCUCUCUUUCAUGUCAAUUUGGCAAAAGACCACCUAGUAUGUGCACCAAUUAGCUGCCAGCAAGGCAACAGAAUACUC